Molecule: ribosomal RNA, 484 nt
Filed under: uncultured bacterium
Lineage: Bacteria
Description: partial 16S ribosomal RNA
Rfam family: Bacterial small subunit ribosomal RNA
Source: RNAcentral
AUUGAACGCUGGCGGCAGGCCUAACACAUGCCAGUCGAGCGGAUGAAGGGAGCUUGCUCCUGGAUUCAGCGGCGGACGGGUGAGUAAUGCCUAGGAAUCUGCCUGGUAGUGGGGGAUAACGUCCGGAAACGGGCGCUAAUACCGCAUACGUCCUGAGGGAGAAAGUGGGGGAUCUUCGGACCUCACGCUAUCAGAUGAGCCUAGGUCGGAUUAGCUAGUUGGUGGGGUAAAGGCCUACCAAGGCGACGAUCCGUAACUGGUCUGAGAGGAUGAUCAGUCACACUGGAACUGAGACACGGUCCAGACUCCUACGGGAGGCAGCAGUGGGGAAUAUUGGACAAUGGGCGAAAGCCUGAUCCAGCCAUGCCGCGUGUGUGAAGAAGGUCUUCGGAUUGUAAAGCACUUUAAGUUGGGAGGAAGGGCAGUAAGUUAAUACCUUGCUGUUUUGACGUUACCAACAGAAUAAGCACCAGCUAACUUCGUG